Molecule: unclassified non-coding RNA, 341 nt
Filed under: soil metagenome
Description: partial contains 5.8S ribosomal RNA, internal transcribed spacer 2, and large subunit ribosomal RNA
Rfam family: 5.8S ribosomal RNA (bases 1-121)
Source: RNAcentral
GAUGAAGAACGCAGCGAAAUGCGAUAAGUAGUGUGAAUUGCAGAAUUCAGCGAAUCAUCGAAUCUUUGAACGCACAUUGCGCCCUUCGGUUAUUCCUUAGGGCAUGCCUGUUCGAGCGUCAUUUCAACCUUCAAGCCUGGCUUGGUGUUGGGCGCUGUCCCGCCUCCGCGCGCGGACUCGCCCCAAAUGAAUUGGCAGUCGCACCCUCCGAGCCGCGAGCGCAGCACAAGUCGCGCGGGCGGAACUCUGGGGGGACGGACGCUCCACAAGACCCUUUCUCAGUCUUGACCUCGGAUCAGGUAGGGAUACCCGCUGAACUUAAGCAUAUCAAUAAGCGGAGG